UGAGCAAUCUGCCCUUCUCUUCGGAAUAAGCGUUGGAAACGACGUCUAAUGCCGAAUACGACCUCCUUUCGCAUGAUCGGAGGUGGAAAAGCUCCGGCGGAGAAGGAUGAGCUCGCGGCCUAUCAGCUAGUUGGUGAGGUAACGGCUCACCAAGGCGACGACGGGUAGCUGGUCUGAGAGGAUGGCCAGCCACGAUUGGGACUGAGACACGGCCCAGACC
RNAcentral lists this ribosomal RNA (220 nucleotides) under uncultured bacterium. RNAcentral describes it as "partial 16S ribosomal RNA". It matches the Rfam family "Bacterial small subunit ribosomal RNA", at positions 118 to 337 of the family's 1533-position model. The record is from RNAcentral.